CUAACCCAUGGAGGGGUGACUAGCUGCAAUUGGUGGAGGGAGAAUCCACAUCAGUGAAAUCCCUGACACUUGGAAGAAGUAGAAUUGCACUUGAUGCCAGGCUAAGAACACUUGACUUAACAGAGAUGAUGCCUUCCCCUAAGAUCAGAAUCAGUGGAGAAGCAAGUAGUACAGAAGCUACAACCUCUUGAUAGGAGAAAGAACUGGGGGCAAUAGAAUCCCUCCUACAACCUAGAGCACCCCAUCCCCCAGAUUAUAUUAGAAAUGUUUGGUUUGACUGUGUAAAAAUAACACCGAUUGUUUUCAUUUAGGAGAAUGACUUACCAUUUAUGCCUAAUUAUCA
RNAcentral lists this long non-coding RNA (343 nucleotides) under Phascolarctos cinereus (koala). Its description in RNAcentral is "lncRNA (ENSPCIG00000012104.2)". Lineage: Eukaryota; Metazoa; Chordata; Mammalia; Diprotodontia; Phascolarctidae. The record is from RNAcentral.